Molecule: ribosomal RNA, 534 nt
Filed under: uncultured bacterium
Lineage: Bacteria
Description: bacterial SSU rRNA
Rfam family: Bacterial small subunit ribosomal RNA
Source: RNAcentral
AGUGAACGCUGGCGGCGUGCCUAACACAUGCAAGUCGAACGGGCUAGUGCUUCGCACUAGUCUCUUUCUGGGGUUGCUACUCUAAGGCUACCUGCUAAAGUUAUUGCUUUAAAGCAGGGGUUUUAGGGGACCUUCCCCAAAAGGGGCCAGUGCGGAGCACUGGCCAGUGGCGAACGGGUGAGUAACACGUGGGUAAUCUGCCCUCGAGUGGGGAAUAAGCUCCCGAAAGGGGGUCUAAUACCGCAUGACGUUUCAUAACGAUGGUUAUGAAACCAAAGCCCAAAAGGCGCUUGAGGAGGAGCCUGCGUCCUAUCAGCUUGUUGGCAGGGUAAUGGCCUACCAAGGCUAUGACGGGUAGCCGGCCUGAGAGGGUGUCCGGCCACACUGGAACUGAGACACGGUCCAGACUCCUACGGGAGGCAGGCAGUGGGGAAUUUUGCGCAAUGGGGGAAACCCUGACGCAGCGACGCCGCGUGGAGGAUGACGGCCUCGGGUUGUAACGUACCGUGUCGUAGAAGGACGAAAGUACCGACG